RNAcentral lists this ribosomal RNA (599 nucleotides) under Brevundimonas sp. R10-6. Its description in RNAcentral is "bacterial SSU rRNA". It matches the Rfam family "Bacterial small subunit ribosomal RNA", at positions 95 to 728 of the family's 1533-position model. Lineage: Bacteria; Pseudomonadati; Pseudomonadota; Alphaproteobacteria; Caulobacterales; Caulobacteraceae. The record is from RNAcentral.
GUGGCGGACGGGUGAGUAACACGUGGGAACGUGCCUUUAGGUUCGGAAUAACUCAGGGAAACUUGUGCUAAUACCGAAUGUGCCCUUCGGGGGAAAGAUUUAUCGCCUUUAGAGCGGCCCGCGUCUGAUUAGCUAGUUGGUUGAGGUAAUGGCUCACCAAGGCGACGAUCAGUAGCUGGUCUGAGAGGAUGAUCAGCCACAUUGGGACUGAGACACGGCCCAAACUCCUACGGGAGGCAGCAGUGGGGAAUCUUGCGCAAUGGGCGAAAGCCUGACGCAGCCAUGCCGCGUGAAUGAUGAAGGUCUUAGGAUUGUAAAAUUCUUUCACCGGGGACGAUAAUGACGGUACCCGGAGAAGAAGCCCCGGCUAACUUCGUGCCAGCAGCCGCGGUAAUACGAAGGGGGCUAGCGUUGCUCGGAAUUACUGGGCGUAAAGGGAGCGUAGGCGGACAUUUAAGUCAGGGGUGAAAUCCCGGGGCUCAACCUCGGAAUUGCCUUUGAUACUGGAUGUCUUGAGUAUGAGAGAGGUGUGUGGAACUCCGAGUGUAGAGGUGAAAUUCGUAGAUAUUCGGAAGAACACCAGUGGCGAAGGCGACACA